CGCUGCUUCAUUUUCCCUAAUCCCUCGCAAGGGAACGCCGCCAGCCGAAAACCAUUACCAAAAGAAAGCUCAUUGAACAAAAGUUUCCCUUUCGCCCUGUUACGCCAUUAUCGCGUUCCGGAUAGAACGUCGGCUGGAACGGAAAGAAGAAAGGAUGAUGUUGCGAAAAAAUUCGCCAGUCGGGCCCGAUUAUUCCCGCGGUGGCGUAGCCGGGGCCAUUUCGGCCGAUUUUUCAGUAGGAUCAUACGUAAACAAAGUUCAUUGAAUAUUUCUGUAGAAGCGCAUACAGAAAAUUUGUAAGAGAAACACAGAAGAAACUAGAAGAAAUCGAACAAGGAAACAGAGAUUCUCGAUGACGAGGAACUGCUGUACGAAACGUCUACAAGAACCGUCUAGACACAAC
This 403-nucleotide unclassified non-coding RNA is filed under the name Bombus terrestris (buff-tailed bumblebee). RNAcentral's name for it is "misc RNA ENSBTSG00005030998.1". Lineage: Eukaryota; Metazoa; Arthropoda; Insecta; Hymenoptera; Apidae. The record is from RNAcentral.